RNAcentral lists this ribosomal RNA (393 nucleotides) under uncultured bacterium. Its description in RNAcentral is "partial 16S ribosomal RNA". It matches the Rfam family "Bacterial small subunit ribosomal RNA", at positions 523 to 918 of the family's 1533-position model. The record is from RNAcentral.
AUACGGAGGACGCGAGCGUUAUCCGGAUUCAUUGGGUUUAAAGGGUGCGCAGGCGGCCGUGCAAGUCAGCGGUGAAAGCCCGGGGCUCAACCCCGGAGGUGCCGUUGAUACUGCGUGGCUGGAAUGCGGUCGAGGCGGGCGGGGCGGGGCGUGUAGCGGUGGAAUGCGUAGAUAUGCCACAGAACGCCGAUAGCGGAGGCAGCUCGCCAGGCCCGCAUUGACGCUCGGGCACGAAAGCGUGGGGAUCGAACAGGAUUAGAUACCCUGGUAGUCCACGCCGUAAACGAUGGGCGCUCGUCGUCGGCGACAGACAGUCGGCGGCCAAGCGAAAGCGAUAAGCGCCCCACCUGGGGAGUACGGUCGCAAGGCUGAAACUCAAAUGAAUUGACGGGG